RNAcentral lists this ribosomal RNA (253 nucleotides) under uncultured bacterium. RNAcentral describes it as "partial 16S ribosomal RNA". It matches the Rfam family "Bacterial small subunit ribosomal RNA", at positions 524 to 776 of the family's 1533-position model. The record is from RNAcentral. RNAcentral also lists the same sequence under 1 other name.
GACGAACCGAGCGAACGUUGUUCGGAAUCACUGGGCUUAAAGGGCGCGUAGGCGGGCAUUCAAGUCUGUGGUGAAAUCCUCCGGCUCAACCGGAGAACUGCCUCGGAUACUGGGUGUCUCGAGGGUGAUAGGGGUAUGCGGAACUAUCGGUGGAGCGGUGAAAUGCGUUGAUAUCGAUAGGAACUCCGGUGGCGAAGGCGGCAUACUGGAUCACUUCUGACGCUGAGGCGCGAAAGCCAGGGGAGCAAACGGG